Molecule: ribosomal RNA, 119 nt
Filed under: Pteropus alecto (black flying fox)
Lineage: Eukaryota; Metazoa; Chordata; Mammalia; Chiroptera; Pteropodidae
Source: RNAcentral
GUCUACGGCCAUGCCGCCCUGAACAAGCCCGAUCCCAUCUGAUCUCAGAAGCUCAGCAGGGUCAGGCCUGGUCAGUGCUUGGAUGGGAGACCACCUAGGAAGACCAGGUGUUGUAGGCA